GACGAACGCUGGCGGCGUGCUUAACACAUGCAAGUCGAACGGUGAAGCGCCUUCCUUUUUGGUGGGUGUGGAUGAGUGGCGAACGGGUGAGUAACACGUGAGUAACCUGCCCCCUUCUUCUGGAUAACCGCAUGAAAGUGUGGCUAAUACGGGAUAUUCUGGGUCUGUCGCAUGAUGGGUCUGGGAAAGAUAUUGUUUCGGUGGGGGAUGGGCUCGCGGCCUAUCAGCUUGUUGGUGGGGUGAUGGCCUACCAAGGCGGUGACGGGUAGCCGGCCUGAGAGGGUGGACGGUCACACUGGGACUGAGACACGGCCCAGACUCCUACGGGAGGCAGCAGUGGGGAAUAUUGCACAAUGGGCGCAAGCCUGAUGCAGCGACGCCGCGUGAGGGAUGGAGGCCUGCGGGUUGUGAACCUCUUUCGCUAGUGAAGCAGGCCUGCCUCGUUUGUGGGUGGGUUGACGGUAGCUGGAUAAGAAGCGCCGGCUAACUACGUG
Molecule: ribosomal RNA, 494 nt
Filed under: uncultured bacterium
Lineage: Bacteria
Description: partial 16S ribosomal RNA
Rfam family: Bacterial small subunit ribosomal RNA
Source: RNAcentral